UACAGAGGUCCCAAGCGUUGUUCGGAUUCACUGGGCGUAAAGGGUGCGUAGGUGGCGCCGUAAGUGGGGUGUGAAAUUUCGGAGCUUAACUCCGAAACUGCAUUCCAUACUGCGGUGCUUGAGGACUGGAGAGGAGACUGGAAUUCAUGGUGUAGCAGUGAAAUGCGUAGAGAUCAUGAGGAAGACCAGUGGCGAAGGCGGGUCUCUGGACAGUUCCUGACACUGAGGCACGAAGGCCAGGGGAGCAAACGGG
RNAcentral lists this ribosomal RNA (253 nucleotides) under uncultured bacterium. RNAcentral describes it as "partial 16S ribosomal RNA". It matches the Rfam family "Bacterial small subunit ribosomal RNA", at positions 524 to 776 of the family's 1533-position model. The record is from RNAcentral.